This 24-nucleotide non-coding RNA is filed under the name Cricetulus griseus (Chinese hamster). The record is from RNAcentral. Lineage: Eukaryota; Metazoa; Chordata; Mammalia; Rodentia; Cricetidae.
ACUGGUCUGCUUUGGCCUCUGGAG